AUUGAACGCUGGCGGCAGGCCUAACACAUGCAAGUCGAACGAGUGGCGGACGGGUGAGUAAUGUCUGGGAAACUGCCUGAUGGAGGGGGAUAACUACUGGAAACGGUAGCUAAUACAGCAUACCAUCAGAUGUGCCCAGAUGGGAUUGGCUGGUUGGUGGGGUAACGGCUCACCAAGGCGACGAUCCCUAGCUGGUCUGAGAGGCUGACCAGCCACCCUGGAACCUAGACACGGUCCAGUAUCCUAAGGGAGGAAGCAGUGGGGAAUAUUGCACAAUGGGCGCAAGCCUGAUGCAGCCAUGCCGCGUUUAUGAAGAAGGCCUUCGGGUUGUAAAGUACUUUCAGCGGGGAGGCGUUACCCGCAGAAGAAGCACCGGCUAACUCCGGGCCAGCAGCCGCGGUAAUAC
RNAcentral lists this ribosomal RNA (406 nucleotides) under uncultured bacterium. RNAcentral describes it as "partial 16S ribosomal RNA". It matches the Rfam family "Bacterial small subunit ribosomal RNA", at positions 30 to 526 of the family's 1533-position model. The record is from RNAcentral.